RNAcentral lists this ribosomal RNA (393 nucleotides) under Stramenopiles sp. MAST-12D. RNAcentral's name for it is "partial small subunit ribosomal RNA". It matches the Rfam family "Eukaryotic small subunit ribosomal RNA", at positions 582 to 975 of the family's 1831-position model. The record is from RNAcentral.
AUUCCAGCUCCAAUAGCGUAUAUUAAAGUUGUUGCAGUUAAAAAGCUCGUAGUCGUAUUUCUAGGUUAAGUACAAUGUCCUGUGGCACUGCUACAGUGUACAUAUGUAUCUUAACCUAUCCUUGUAGUCAACAUAUUUGGUCUUAAUUGAUUGAGUAUGGGAGCUACAUCGUUUACUGUGAAAAAAUUAGAGUGUUUAAAGCAGGCAUUUGCUGUGAAUACAUUAGCAUGGAAUAAUAAGAUAGGACUUUGGUACUAUUUUGUUGGUUUGCAUACCAAGGUAAUGAUAAAUAGGGACAGUUGGGGGUAUUCAUAUUUAGUUGUCAGAGGUGAAAUUCUUGGAUUUACGAAAGAUGAACUUAUGCGAAAGCAUUUACCAAGGAUGUUUUCAUCG